Molecule: unclassified non-coding RNA, 258 nt
Filed under: fungal sp.
Lineage: Eukaryota; Fungi
Description: partial internal transcribed spacer region
Rfam family: Eukaryotic small subunit ribosomal RNA (bases 1-46)
Source: RNAcentral
AAGUCGUAACAAGGUUUCCGUAGGUGAACCUGCGGAAGGAUCAUUAAUGAACCUUUGAGGAUUGAGCUGGUCUUCUUGACAUGUGCUCGUCCUCUUAUCCUUUAUUACACCUGUGCAUCUUUUAGGGAGACAAGUAAGGAUUAGUAGGUCUCUUGACCGAACAUCCUCACCCUCUCUUAUUUACAUACACUUUAUCUGAUCAUUGAAAUUAUUUAAUUAAAAUAAUAACAACUUUUAACAACGGAUCUCUUGGCUCUC